UACGUAGGGGGCAAGCGUUAUCCAGAUUUACUGGGCGUAAAGGGCGCGCAGGCGGCUUAUUUUGUCAGGCGUGAAAGCCCCGGGCUUAACCUGGGAACUGCGUUUGAUACGGAUGGGCUAGAGUUCGGGAGAGGAGAGUGGAAUUCCCAGUGUAGAGGUGAAAUUCGUAGAUAUUGGGAAGAACACCGGUGGCGAAGGCGGCUCUCUGGACCGAUACUGACGCUGAGGCGCGAAAGCGUGGGGAGCAAACAGG
This 253-nucleotide ribosomal RNA is filed under the name uncultured bacterium. RNAcentral describes it as "partial 16S ribosomal RNA". It matches the Rfam family "Bacterial small subunit ribosomal RNA", at positions 524 to 776 of the family's 1533-position model. The record is from RNAcentral.